AAAAGUUUCUUCAUUCUAGUUUUUAGUUUGUAGAAAUUGGCUAGUCCUUUUCAAUAGUUUCCUCCACCCUCCUCCUCUCUCUCCUGUUCCCUCUCGGACUCUGAGUAUCCCGCCCUCUCCUUCCUUUCCUCCACCCUGUGUUUAACAGAAGGAAAGGAGGGAGCCAAUGACUGAACCAGUGAUAACAAUGGAGGUUUGGGGUUUAGGUAGUACCAUCAACCCACCACAGAGGUACAACAAGUUGGAAGAUCUUGAUAAUCCUCAGCUGCAACCAUGAGCAACAGUGCAGUUUGCAAGGGAGCCAUGGGAUUUUCUCAUUAUAACUACAGAAAACAGCACAUUAGAGGACAUUAGAAAACAGCUUCGAUGCUGUUUCAUGGACAAAAAUGCCACAUAAAACAGCACAUUAGAGGAGCAUGGGGGCAUUCACAUGUUUGUGUUUGACCCAGGUGGAUUGAAGGCUAUUUUGAGCUGCAGGUGAGGUUGUCUUCAUCAUUGUUCUUCAACCAGUUGGAAUCCCGAUGAAACCUUGUUUGCAGCAACCACUGUUAUUCACCUUGGGGACAAGGUGAAUCUUUAGGGGGUAGAGUAUUAAUAUGUAACCCCCAUAGUUAGUUGAAUAAUUAGAGAGUUAGUUACUUAGUUAGUUAGGGGCUGAGUUAGUUAGACAAACAAGGCAUGUUGCCUAAACAAGAAAAGGGGUUGAGAGGGAGAUUCUAUCUUGUGAUUUGAGAGGGAAUUCAGAUUGUUGUGGGAGAGUUCAGGCCUCUCAAAAGUCCUGGGAAUCAUUUGUACACUUUUCUGUUAAUAGAAGCUUUUCUCUCUAAUUCUGAUCUAGUUUCUAUGCAAAACUUCAAGAAAGUGGGC
RNAcentral lists this long non-coding RNA (867 nucleotides) under Glycine max (soybean). RNAcentral's name for it is "long non-coding RNA (GMAX_LNC003298)". Lineage: Eukaryota; Viridiplantae; Streptophyta; Magnoliopsida; Fabales; Fabaceae. The record is from RNAcentral.